GGUUUGAUUCUGGCUCAGAUUGAACGCUGGCGGGAUGCUUUACACAUGCAAGUCGAACGGCAGCACGGACUUCGGUCUGGUGGCGAGUGGCGAACAGGUGAGGUAAUGUAUCGGAACGUGCCUAGUAGCAGGGGGAUAACUACGCGAAAGCGUAACUAAUACCGCAUACGCCCUUCGAGGAAAGCGGGGGGACCUUCCGGGCCUCACUUACUAUUAAAACAGCGAUAUCGGAUUAGCUAGUUGGUGGGGUAACGGCUCACCAAGGCGACGAUCCGUAGCUGGUUUGAAGGGACGACCAGCCACACUGGACGAGACACGGCCCAGACUCCUGCAGGAGAGCAGCAGUGGGGAAUUUUGGACAAUGGGGGAAACCUGAUCCAGCCAUCCCGCGUGUGCGAUGAAGGCCUUCGGGUUGUAAACACUUUUGGCAGGAAAGAAACGGCACGGGAUAAUACCCCGUGCAGCGGCGUGACACCUGCAGUCAGCACCGGCUAACUACGUGCCAGCAGCCGCGGUAAUACGUAGGUGCAAGCGUUGAUAGAUUGCUGGGCCAAACGUGCGCAGAGCGGUUCGGAAAGAAAGAUGUGAAAUCCCAGAGCCCAACUUUGGAACUGCAUUUUUAACUGCCGAGCUAGAGUGUAUAGAGGAGGUGGAAUUCCGCGUGUAACAGUGAAAUGUAGGUAUUGCGGAGGGCUGCCAUUGGCAACAGCCACUCUCCAGGGUAACACUGACAUCAUGCGGCAUUAAGGAACAACAGGAUUAGUCCUGGUGAGUCCGCCUAAACUUGAUGUCAACUAGCUGUUGUUGGGGCCUUCGGGCCUUGGUAGCGCAGCUAACGCGUGAAGUUGACCGCCUGGGGAGUACGGUCGCAAGAUUAAAAACUCAAAGGAAUUAGGCGGGGACCCGCACAAGCGGUGGAUGAUGUGGAUUAAUUCGAUGCAACGCGAAAAAACCAUACCUACCUGCCAGCAUGUCACCGGAAUCCGAAGAGAUUUGGGGUGCUCGCAAGAGAACCGGAACACAGGUGCUGCAUAGCUGUCGUCAGCUCGUAUUAGUGAGAUGUUGGGUUAAGUCCCGCAGCAAGCGCAGCCAUGAUAAUUAGUUGCACCACGAAAGGGCACUCCUAAUGAGACUGCCAGUGACAAACCGGAGGAAGGUGGGGAUGACGUGGGGUCCUCAUGGCCCUUAUGGGUAGGGCUUCACCACGUCUUACAAUGGUCGGGACAGAGGUCGCCAACCCGCGAGGGAGAGCCAAUCCCAGAAACCCGAUCGUAGUCCGGGAUCGCAGUCUGCAACUCGGCUGCGUGAAGUCGGAAUCGCUAGUAAUCGCGGAUCAGCAUGUCGCGGUGAAUACGUUCCCGGGUCUUGUACACACCGCCCGUCACACCAUGGGAGUGGGUUUUUACCAGAAGUAGUUAGCCUAACCGUAAGGAGGAGGCGGUCACCACGAUAGGAUUCAGCGACUAGGGUGAAGUCGCUAAAGGUAA
RNAcentral lists this ribosomal RNA (1487 nucleotides) under uncultured Bordetella sp. RNAcentral describes it as "partial 16S-23S ribosomal RNA intergenic spacer". It matches the Rfam family "Bacterial small subunit ribosomal RNA". Lineage: Bacteria; Pseudomonadati; Pseudomonadota; Betaproteobacteria; Burkholderiales; Alcaligenaceae. The record is from RNAcentral.